RNAcentral lists this ribosomal RNA (449 nucleotides) under uncultured bacterium. RNAcentral's name for it is "SSU rRNA". It matches the Rfam family "Bacterial small subunit ribosomal RNA", at positions 26 to 518 of the family's 1533-position model. The record is from RNAcentral.
AGGAUGAACGCUGGCGGUCUGCUUAACACAUGCAAGUCGAACGGAGUAGCAAUACUUAGUGGCGGACGGGUGAGUAACGCGUGAGAAUCUACCUUCAGGACGGAGACAACAGUUGGAAACGACUGCUAACCCCCGAUGUACCGAAAGGGCAAAUAUUUAUAGCCUGAAGAAGAGCUCGCGUCCGAUUAGCUAGUUGGAGAGGUAAAAGCUCACCAAGGCGACGAUCGGUAGCUGGUCUGAGAGGAUGAUCAGCCACAAUGGGACUGAGACACGGCCCAUACUCCUACGGGAGGCAGCAGUGGGGAAUUUUACGCAAUGGGCGAAAGCCUGACGUAGCGACACCGCGUGAACGAAGAAGCCUCUUGGGGUGUAAAGUUCUGUCAGCUGGAACGAAAAAAAAUGACGGUACCAGCAGAGGAAGCAUCGGCUAACUACGUGCCAGCAGCCGC